UCCUACGGGGGGCAGCAGUGGGGAAUAUUGGACAAUGGGGGGAACCCUGAUCCAGCGACGCCGCGUGAGUGAAGAAGUAUUUCGGUAUGUAAAGCUCUAUCAGCAGGGAAGAAAAUGACGGUACCUGACUAAGAAGCCCCGGCUAACUACGUGCCAGCAGCCGCGGUAAUACGUAGGGGGCAAGCGUUAUCCGGAUUUACUGGGUUUAAAGGGUGCGCAGGCGGAGGUGCAAGUCAGCGGUCAAAUUGCGGGGCUCAACCCCGUACUGCCGUUGAAACUGCAUCCCUUGAGUGCGCGAGAAGUAU
RNAcentral lists this ribosomal RNA (305 nucleotides) under uncultured bacterium. RNAcentral describes it as "bacterial SSU rRNA". It matches the Rfam family "Bacterial small subunit ribosomal RNA", at positions 337 to 660 of the family's 1533-position model. The record is from RNAcentral.